RNAcentral lists this ribosomal RNA (570 nucleotides) under Suncus megalurus (climbing shrew). Its description in RNAcentral is "Suncus megalura (climbing shrew) partial 16S ribosomal RNA". It matches the Rfam family "Bacterial large subunit ribosomal RNA", at positions 1783 to 2595 of the family's 2925-position model. Lineage: Eukaryota; Metazoa; Chordata; Mammalia; Eulipotyphla; Soricidae. The record is from RNAcentral.
CAAACCCCGCCUGUUUACCAAAAACAUCACCUCUAGCAUUACCAGUAUUAGAGGCACUGCCUGCCCAGUGACAUCAGUUAAACGGCCGCGGUAUCCUGACCGUGCAAAGGUAGCAUAAUCAUUUGUUCCUUAAUUAGGGACUUGUAUGAAUGGCCACACGAGGGUUUAACUGUCUCUUACUUUUUAUCAGUGAAAUUGACCUCCCCGUGAAGAGGCGGGGAUAUAACAAUAAGACGAGAAGACCCUAUGGAGCUUAAAUUUACUUGCCCAACAAACCUAAAGUCAAUCCAACAGGAGCAAUACCAUUUUAACUGGGCACCAAAUUUUGGUUGGGGUGACCUCGGAGCAUAACCUAACCUCCGAGUGUUUUAAACUAAGACUUACAUGUCAAAGUGACAGCACUUAUUGAUCCAAUCUUUAUUGAUCAACGGACCAAGUUACCCUAGGGAUAACAGCGCAAUCCCAUUUAAGAGUUCAUAUCGCCAAUGGGGUUUACGACCUCGAUGUUGGAUCAGGACACCCAAAUGGUGCAGCAGCUAUUAAAGGUUCGUUUGUUCAACGAUUAAAGUC